AUUGAACGCUGGCGGCAUGCUUUACACAUGCAAGCCGAGCGGCAGCGCGGGGGGCAACCCUGGCGGCGAGCGGCGAACGGGUGAGUAAUGCAUCGGAACGUACCCUGGAGUGGGGGAUAACGCCGCGAAAGCGGCGCUAAUACCGCAUAUGCUCUGAGGAGGAAAGUGGGGGACCUGCAAGGGCCUCACGCUCUGGGAGCGGCCGAUGUCCGAUUAGCUAGUUGGUGGGGUAAAGGCUUACCAAGGCGACGAUCGGUAGCUGGUCUGAGAGGAUGAUCAGCCACACUGGGACUGAGACACGGCCCAGACUCCUACGGGAGGCAGCAGUGGGGAAUUUUGGACAAUGGGGGCAACCCUGAUCCAGCCAUGCCGCGUGAGUGAAGAAGGCCUU
Molecule: ribosomal RNA, 391 nt
Filed under: uncultured bacterium
Lineage: Bacteria
Description: bacterial SSU rRNA
Rfam family: Bacterial small subunit ribosomal RNA
Source: RNAcentral